GAGUUUGAUCAUGGCUCAGAAUCAACGCUGGCGGCGCGCUUAACACAUGCAAGUCGAACGAGAAAGGGGAGCAAUCCCUGAGUACAGUGGCGUCCGGGUGAGUAACACGUGGGUAAUCUACCCUUUGGUGGGGAAUAACCCUGGGAAACCGGGGAUAAUACCGCAUAACUCCGAGAGGAGAAAGCCGAAAGGCGCCGAAGGAGGAGCCCGCGGCCGAUUAGCUAGUUGGUAGGGUAACGGCCUACCAAGGCCAAGAUCGGUAGCCGGCCUGAGAGGGCACACGGCCACACUGGCACUGAAACACGGGCCAGACUCCUACGGGAGGCAGCAGUGGGGAAUCUUGCGCUAAUGCGGGAAACCGUGACGCAGCGACACCGCGUGAGGGAAGAAGGCCUUCGGGUUGUAAACCUCUUUCAGGAGGGACGAAGCUACUCGGGUUAAUAGCCCAGAGGGUGGCGGUACCUCCAGAAGAAGCCCCGGCUAACUACGUGCCAGCCGCCGCGUAAUUC
RNAcentral lists this ribosomal RNA (509 nucleotides) under uncultured bacterium. RNAcentral's name for it is "bacterial SSU rRNA". It matches the Rfam family "Bacterial small subunit ribosomal RNA", at positions 9 to 526 of the family's 1533-position model. The record is from RNAcentral.